CUUUCAAUAGAUCUCAGCAAGGGAGCUGCUGUAUUACGUAGGAAACUCCGACCCAGAAGCAGGUCAUCUAUGCAUGGUUUAACCCCAGGUUCCCCACCAAUGUGCGUUGUGUGACAGACAAUGCAUGCCUUACGUCUUGCACAUGGAGGACUGGCCACCACCCUUUCCUGAUUCGCCUCUUGCCUCAGGCCAUCAGCUUCCUAUCUCUGGCUGAGACAGUCUCGAAGGCCCUUCCAAAGCUGACGUUGCUCUGCUUUCUAAUCCUGGCUCUGCAAGCUAUUUCAAGCUAUGUGACCCUGGGUAAGUCAGGUCCUCCCUCCAAGUCUCAGUUUCUUCAUCAGUAGGGGAACAGUAACCCCAAGCCAUGUCUUAUCCCGUAAGAGCUCAAGGAGAUAGUGUGAGAGAAGACUCUGUAAAGAAGGAGACGCUGCACACAGGUGGCAGGUACCCAGGUGGCAGGCCUUGAUGACAAAGGUGACGAUGUUCCUCCAAAGUCAUAAAGGAAUUGUUCUUAGAUUGAGGAUCUGAGAUAGGGGAAGGUUAUCUAGUGGGUGCUGGACUUCACAAAUCACUGACAGUGACUUUUUCCUUCCAGGAAAAGGCUUGAUCCUCUUGGCCCGGAAGCAGGGGGCUGGUUACAAUGACCCCAGUUCCUCUCUUGCUGUAUUACAUCCCAGCUGGAGGGAGCAACUUCCCUUCCAGAGGAAGGUGGCCAAGGCAGAAGCAGGGUGUGAGGAAAUGCUGAUGCCGGCUGGCUCUGAAAUUAGCUUACCUGCUUGUUUAACCAUUUCUCCAAAGAGAAUGCAAGUUCCUAGAGCAGGGGUUGACAAAAAAAAAAAAAAAAAAAAAAUCUUUUAUUUCCUGAAGAGCCAGCUAGUAAACAUUUUAGGCUUUCUUGGCCAUAUGGUCUCUGUUGAGACUGCUCGACGCUGCUGUUGCAGUGUGGAAGCAGCCCUAGACCAUACGUAAACGGAGCGUGGCUGUGCUCCAAUAAAACUUUAUUUAUG
Molecule: long non-coding RNA, 1007 nt
Organism: Bubalus bubalis (water buffalo)
Lineage: Eukaryota; Metazoa; Chordata; Mammalia; Artiodactyla; Bovidae
Exons: 2
Source: RefSeq, a predicted model, not a curated record